This 253-nucleotide ribosomal RNA is filed under the name uncultured bacterium. Its description in RNAcentral is "partial 16S ribosomal RNA". It matches the Rfam family "Bacterial small subunit ribosomal RNA", at positions 524 to 776 of the family's 1533-position model. The record is from RNAcentral.
UACGUAGGCAGCAAGCGUUGUUCGGAGUUACUGGGCGUAAAGGGUGUGUAGGCGGUUCUUUAAGUUUGGUGUGAAAUCUCCCGGCUCAACCGGGAGGGUGCGCCGAAUACUGAGGGACUCGAGUGCGGGAGAGGAAAGUGGAAUUCCUGGUGUAGCGGUGAAAUGCGUAGAUAUCAGGAGGAACACCGGUGGUGUAGACGGCUUUCUGGACCGUAACUGACGCUGAGGCACGAAAGCGUGGGGAUCAAACAGG